AUUGAACGCGGCGGCAGGCCUAACACAUGCAAGUCGAGCGGAAACGAGUAUCUGAACCUUCGGGGAAUGAUAACGGCGUCGAGCGGCGGACGGGUGAGUAAUGCCUAGGAAAUUGCCCCUGAUGUGGGGGAUAACCAUUGGAAACGAUGGCUAAUACCGCAUGAUGCCUACGGGCCAAAGAGGGGGACCUUCGGGCCUCUCGCGUCAGGAUAUGCCUAGGUGGGAUUAGCUAGUUGGUGAGGUAAGGGCUCACCAAGGCAACGAUCCCUAGCUGGUCUGAGAGGAUGAUCAGCCACACUGGAACUGAGACACGGUCCAGACUCCUACGGGAGGCAGCAGUGGGGAAUAUUGCACAAUGGGCGCAAGCCUGAUGCAGCCAUGCCGCGUGUAUGAAGAAGGCCUUCGGGUUGUAAAGUACUUUCAGCAGUGAGGAAGGCGGGUACGUUAAUAGCGUGCUCGUUUGACGUUAGCUGCAGAAGAAGCACCGGCUAACUCCGUGCCAGCAGCCGCGGUAAUACGGAGGGUGCGAGCGUUAAUCGGAAUUACUGGGCGUAAAGCGCAUGCAGGUGGUUUGUUAAGUCAGAUGUGAAAGCCCGGGGCUCAACCUCGGAAUAGCAUUUGAAACUGGCAGACUGGAGUACUGUAGAGGGGGGUAGAAUUUCAGGUGUAGCGGUGAAAUGCGUAGAGAUCUGAAGGAAUACCGGUGGCGAAGGCGGCCCCCUGGACAGAUACUGACACUCAGAUGCGAAAGCGUGGGGAGCAAACAGG
Molecule: ribosomal RNA, 768 nt
Filed under: uncultured Pseudoalteromonadaceae bacterium
Lineage: Bacteria; Pseudomonadati; Pseudomonadota; Gammaproteobacteria; Alteromonadales; Pseudoalteromonadaceae
Description: bacterial SSU rRNA
Rfam family: Bacterial small subunit ribosomal RNA
Source: RNAcentral